AAUGCACCAAUUUGUAAGUCGCGCUGGAUAAGAGCGUCUGCUAAAUGACUUAAA
Non-coding RNA from Salmo salar (Atlantic salmon), 54 nucleotides. Lineage: Eukaryota; Metazoa; Chordata; Actinopteri; Salmoniformes; Salmonidae. The record is from Rfam.